UAAUAGAAAAUUGGAAAAGAAGCUUCUAGAAGUCUGGACAUAGAUGACACUGGGUUUGACCUUUCAAGGUCAAAGGUCAUGGCACCAAAUGAAAACCCGUGUGUGACUUCCUAUCUAUCGCCAAUAGUGAUUAUAUCAAUAUCUGAAACUGCUUUCAAGUUACAGCACUUUCAAAUCUGUCCCAUUAUAAACCAAUGAGGAUUUCAAAAAUUA
This is a long non-coding RNA of Sphaeramia orbicularis (orbiculate cardinalfish), 213 nucleotides long. RefSeq lists it as uncharacterized. Lineage: Eukaryota; Metazoa; Chordata; Actinopteri; Kurtiformes; Apogonidae. The record is from RefSeq and is a predicted model, not a curated record. The transcript has 3 exons.